CGGGGUGUAGCGCAGUUUGGUAGCGCACUUGGUUUGGGACCAAGGGGUCGCAGGUUCGAAUCCUGUCACCCCGACCA
Molecule: transfer RNA, 77 nt
Filed under: Bacillota bacterium
Lineage: Bacteria; Bacillati; Bacillota
Description: Firmicutes bacterium (anaerobic digester metagenome) tRNA-Pro
Rfam family: tRNA
About the family: Transfer RNA (tRNA) molecules are approximately 80 nucleotides in length. Their secondary structure includes four short double-helical elements and three loops (D, anti-codon, and T loops). Further hydrogen bonds mediate the characteristic L-shaped molecular structure. tRNAs have two regions of fundamental functional importance: the anti-codon, which is responsible for specific mRNA codon recognition, and the 3' end, to which the tRNAs corresponding amino acid is attached (by aminoacyl-tRNA synthetases). tRNAs cope with the degeneracy of the genetic code in two manners: having more than one tRNA (with a specific anti-codon) for a particular amino acid; and 'wobble' base-pairing, i.e. permitting non-standard base-pairing at the 3rd anti-codon position.
Source: RNAcentral